GUACCGUGAGGGAAAGGCGAAAAGAACCCCGGCGAGGGGAGUGAAAAAGAACCUGAAACCGUGUACGUACAAGCAGUGGGAGCACAGGUUUACCUGUGUGACUGCGUACCUUUUGUAUAAUGGGUCAGCGACUUAUAUUCUGUAGCAAGGUUAACCGUAUAGGGGAGCCGUAGGGAAACCGAGUCUUAACCGGGCGUUAAGUUGCAGGGUAUAGACCCGAAACCCGGUGAUCUAGCCAUGGGCAGGUUGAAGGUUGGGUAACACUAACUGGAGGACCGAACCGACUAAUGUUGAAAAAUUAGCGGAUGACCUGUGGCUGGGGGUGAAAGGCCAAUCAAACCGGGAGAUAGCUGGUUCUCCCCGAAAGCUAUUUAGGUAGCGCCUCGUGAAUUCAUCUCCGGGGGUAGAGCACUGUUUCGGCUAGGGGGCCAUCCCGGCUUACCAACCCGAUGCAAACUGCGAAUACCGGAGAAUGUUAUCACGGGAGACACACGGCGGGUGCUAACGUCCGUCGUGAAGAGGGAAACAACCCAGACCGCCAGCUAAGGUCCCAAAGUCAUGGUUAAGUGGGAAACGAUGUGGGAAGGCCCAGACAGCCAGGAUGUUGGCUUAGAAGCAGCCAUCAUUUAAAGAAAGCGUAAUAGCUCACUGGUCGAGUCGGCCUGCGCGGAAGAUGUAACGGGGCUAAACCAUGCACCGAAGCUGCGGCAGCGAACGUAUCACCCAAGACAACUUUACGGAGUUGACGAUUGACGGAGCGAAGCGACGUCAAAGCGUUCAUUAAAGUCGAGUUGGCUUAGGGAUACGUUCGUUGGGUAGGGGAGCGUUCUGUAAGCCUGUGAAGGUGUGUCGUGAGGCAUGCUGGAGGUAUCAGAAGUGCGAAUGCUGACAUAAGUAACGAUAAAGCGGGUGAAAAGCCCGCUCGCCGGAAGACCAAGGGUUCCUGUCCAACGUUAAUCGGGGCAGGGUGAGUCGACCCCUAAGGCGAGGCCGAAAGGCGUAGUCGAUGGGAAACGGGUUAAUAUUCCCGUACUUGGUGUUACUGCGAAGGGGGGACGGAGAAGGCUAUGUUGGCCGGGCGACGGUUGUCCCGGUUUAAGCGUGUAGGUGUGUGUUCCAGGUAAAUCCGGUUCACUUUAACACUGAGGCGUGACGACGAGGCACUACGGUGCUGAAGCAACAAAUGCCCUGCUUCCAGGAAAAGCCUCUAAGCAUCAGGUAACACGAAAUCGUACCCCAAACCGACACAGGUGGUCAGGUAGAGAAUACCAAGGCGCUUGAGAGAACUCGGGUGAAGGAACUAGGCAAAAUGGUGCCGUAACUUCGGGAGAAGGCACGCUGACACGUAGGUGAAGUGAUUUACUCAUGGAGCUGAAGUCAGUCGAAGAUACCAGCUGGCUGCAACUGUUUAUUAAAAACACAGCACUGUGCAAACACGAAAGUGGACGUAUACGGUGUGACGCCUGCCCGGUGCCGGAA
RNAcentral lists this ribosomal RNA (1479 nucleotides) under Salmonella enterica subsp. enterica serovar Typhimurium. RNAcentral describes it as "partial 23S ribosomal RNA". It matches the Rfam family "Bacterial large subunit ribosomal RNA", at positions 498 to 1874 of the family's 2925-position model. The record is from RNAcentral. Lineage: Bacteria; Pseudomonadati; Pseudomonadota; Gammaproteobacteria; Enterobacterales; Enterobacteriaceae.